CACGUAGUUAGCCGGGGCUUCUUAGUCAGGUACCGUCAUUUUCUUUCCUGCUGAUAGAGCUUUACAUACCGAAAUACUUCUUCACUCACGCGGCGUCGCUGCAUCAGGGUUUCCCCCAUUGUGCAAUAUUCCCCACUGCUGCCUCCCGUAGGAGUUUGGGCCGUGUCUCAGUCCCAAUGUGGCCGUUCACCCUCUCAGGCCGGCUACUGAUCGUCGCCUUGGUGGGCCUCUACCCCGCCAACAAGCUAAUCAGACGCGGGUCCAUCGUAUACCACCGGAGUUUUUCACACCGGACCAUGCGAUCCUGUGCGCUUAUGCGGUUUUAGCACCUAUUUCUAAGUGUUAUCCCCCUGUAUACGGCAGGUUACCCACGCGUUACUCACCCGUCCGCCACUAACAGAUAAAUCACUAGGUUUCAUUACCUGUCCGUUCGACUUGCAUGUGUUAAGCACGCCGCCAGCGUUCAUCCUGAGCCAGGAUCAAACUCU
Molecule: ribosomal RNA, 488 nt
Filed under: uncultured Lachnospiraceae bacterium
Lineage: Bacteria; Bacillati; Bacillota; Clostridia; Lachnospirales; Lachnospiraceae
Description: partial 16S ribosomal RNA
Source: RNAcentral